CCCCCCCCCGGUCGCCGGGGUCCAGAACCACGUGACCCUCCUUCUGGCAGAUCUCCUGGCCGCCUUCAUCCCAUCACGUGGGCACCUCAUCCUCCCAGAGCCUCAGGAGAGGGGCAGCCUCAGGGCAGUGAGAUGUUGUGACAGAGAGCCCGCAGCCCUGUUACUUUAUUACGGCAUAUUGCUACAGCCAUUCAACUUUUAGUUACUGUUACUCUGUUUCAGGGACCGAUUUACAAAUGAAACUCUAGCAUAGGUCUGUGCAUGUAGGGUUCAGUACCAUCCGCAUCCACUAGGGGGUCUUGGGAUGUAUCCCCUGUGGAUGGGGGGCGGGGAGUUACCGUAUUAAGUUUUACAUGUACGUCAGCGAUUGCAUUAGAGCUAACUUUUGUACGUGGUGCGGGAGGUAGAUCAAGGGAGUAGUUUGGUUUUUGGUUCUGUGUUUUGGGAUUUUUCUUUGUUGGGCUUUUUUGCACAUGGCUAUCUAGUUGUUUGAACACAUUUGUGGAAAAGAUGAACUCCCGUGUGGUUUUGCAGUGGAGUGCUCCCAGUGAGACACAGUCAGUGCACGGCUGUCCCCGGCACCCGGGAGGCUGGUGUUCCAGAAAAUCGCAGCGAGCAGAUGGCCAGCAAUAUCUGCAGGCACCCAGUGUCCUCAACCAGGUUAUCCUUGGGUCCAGGGCCUGGACAGUCGCACUGGGGGGUCCGGGUUGUUCGACCAGAAUCACCUUCGCGUCCCAUGGGUCCCCUGGCCGGCCAGAGGUGCCCUGGGAGGAAAGACAAAGCACCCUGCUCAGGAGGGUCAGGGCUGAAUACUGAAUAUCCGAAGAAGACCUAUGCAGCCCCACCCCCACCCUUUCGUCCUGGUCAUUACCCAGGAGGGGAUCAAGCGGACAUGUGCCUGUCUGGGGGCAGCCCUGGUGCUCAGGCCGGAAGAGGGCACAGAGGUGGAGUCAGAAACCCUCAUAAGCGAACCCUGGGGAAGGGUCAGCAACACCACGUGCUGGGGCGGCAGGACGCGUGCAGGGCCCGGCCACCGCGAGCCCCGGCCCGCCACGGGGCGUCCUUUGUGAUGAAAGAAGCACCUUGCAGAUUGCAGGCGAAACCCACGGCCCCUCAGCUCCUUGGCUUGGAGAAGCAGCGCAGGGGUGAGGUCGGAGGCGAGAUGCAUAGCCCGAGGGAGGGUCCAAGUCUGAAGGAGUCAUUUGCCAGGAGCUAGGGUCGCCCGCCCAGGCGGUGUCCGCCUACCCACCCCCCCCCCCACCAUUGGUGAGCCAGCCCUGGGCAGGAGUCGGGUCUCGUGUGCGGUGACUAGGUCUGCGUCAGUGCAAAGUCCCGUGUGUUGCAUCCCAUCGGUGACACGGGGGGUCGCCGUGAUGGAUCCCCGUGGCAACGGCGGCCCGUGCCCGACCGGGAAGCGCCGGCUGCUUCGGCAGAUGAGUUUUGGCGGGUGGGGUGAGAGAGCAGGCGCCCGCCGUGCGCGAGCACAAGAGGCCCCACACAGUCAGCAGCUGUCAUUUAUUCCUGCAGUCCACAGCACCCAGAAGGGGCGUCAUUAAUCUGUAAUUUUGCAAAAGAACGAGAAAACACCAGAACACCCUGCAAACCACAUUGGUUUCCUAGGACAUAACUGCCUGCUGUAACCAAGUAUCACAGACGGGCCCGCGGAAGACAAAGGAAUCGAUUCGCCCACGGCUGUGGAGACCGGAAGUCUGAAACGGAGAUGGCUGGGAAACGUCGUCUUCCUCUGGACAGUCACACGUCCGACUAAAACUCCCGGGUGCUGGUACCCUGUAGUCUGGAGCGCAAGUAUGUCACAGGGAAAAUGGCUCCCGGGAAGACUGCCCUUCCAGGGAUAACCCAUCCCGCUGCCCUGGGCCCCGCUGACCUUUGGACCGAGGUCAGGGGCCACGUCGUCCCCUUCAGGUGGGUGUUCUGGGAGGGGGUGAGCAUGAGGAGCCCAGCACGUGGUGGGGACCCAGGCCAGGCCCGGGGAGGGUGAUGUCUGGGACCUCCAGGAUGAGGGACGGGGGCGGCCGGGCAGGAGUGCGGUUCCAGCAGAGGAACAGAGUAUGCAGAGGCCCAGAGGCCAGGGACAGGUAUGAAACCGCAGGCAGCACAGCAGGUGUGAGGUUGGAGGUCUCAGCUGGCACGGGGUCCUGAGGGCCCUUGACGAGGGCUCCGAAUGUGGAACUUCAGCCCGGAGGGCCCAGGAUCACCGUGGACGGGGCGCAGACCGACGGCCAGUCAGGCAGCGGCUGGGAGCAGGGCCCGUCCAGGUGAUCCGGGGCGAUCUCCCCUCGAGAUCCUCGAGCACCUCUGCCAAGAUCACAAAGG
This is a long non-coding RNA of Lynx canadensis (Canada lynx), 2334 nucleotides long. RefSeq lists it as uncharacterized. The record is from RefSeq and is a predicted model, not a curated record. The transcript is spliced from 3 exons. NCBI's taxonomy places the organism in Eukaryota, Metazoa, Chordata, Mammalia, Carnivora, Felidae.